AACUCAGCCAGAAAGGCUUCAGUUUCUAUACACAUAUAUUUUUGUUUUGUCACCAACCAUUUUUUCCUAUAAAUCAGAGCCUUUCUAUUAAAUUAUUAAAAUUUUAAAAAACUUUGUCUUAAAAUUUAGUGCUUUUUUUUCUUUCUUUGUGCUUAGUUCAAAUGGUGAAAUUAUCUCUACACUUUCUUGCAUUUUGCAUCAUAGCAAAUUUCACCAAUUUAUUUAAUUCCCCAAUUUCAAUUCAUGCACUUAAUGUUGGUGUUGAAACUAAUGCUGGCCUCUCCUUGGAAAAAGAAUGCAGUAGAACAUGUGAAUCAAAGUUUUGUGCAGUUCCUCCAUUUCUAAGAUAUGGUAAAUAUUGUGG
Long non-coding RNA from Solanum pennellii, 364 nucleotides. RefSeq lists it as uncharacterized. Lineage: Eukaryota; Viridiplantae; Streptophyta; Magnoliopsida; Solanales; Solanaceae. The record is from RefSeq and is a predicted model, not a curated record. The transcript has 3 exons.